RNAcentral lists this ribosomal RNA (747 nucleotides) under Streptococcus salivarius. Its description in RNAcentral is "bacterial SSU rRNA". It matches the Rfam family "Bacterial small subunit ribosomal RNA", at positions 185 to 919 of the family's 1533-position model. Lineage: Bacteria; Bacillati; Bacillota; Bacilli; Lactobacillales; Streptococcaceae. The record is from RNAcentral.
GACACAUGUCAUUUAUUUGAAAGGGGCAAUUGCUCCACUACAAGAUGGACCUGCGUUGUAUUAGCUAGUAGGUGAGGUAACGGCUCACCUAGGCGACGAUACAUAGCCGACCUGAGAGGGUGAUCGGCCACACUGGGACUGAGACACGGCCCAGACUCCUACGGGAGGCAGCAGUAGGGAAUCUUCGGCAAUGGGGGCAACCCUGACCGAGCAACGCCGCGUGAGUGAAGAAGGUUUUCGGAUCGUAAAGCUCUGUUGUAAGUCAAGAACGAGUGUGAGAGUGGAAAGUUCACACUGUGACGGUAGCUUACCAGAAAGGGACGGCUAACUACGUGCCAGCAGCCGCGGUAAUACGUAGGUCCCGAGCGUUGUCCGGAUUUAUUGGGCGUAAAGCGAGCGCAGGCGGUUUGAUAAGUCUGAAGUUAAAGGCUGUGGCUCAACCAUAGUUCGCUUUGGAAACUGUCAAACUUGAGUGCAGAAGGGGAGAGUGGAAUUCCAUGUGUAGCGGUGAAAUGCGUAGAUAUAUGGAGGAACACCGGUGGCGAAAGCGGCUCUCUGGUCUGUAACUGACGCUGAGGCUCGAAAGCGUGGGGAGCGAACAGGAUUAGAUACCCUGGUAGUCCACGCCGUAAACGAUGAGUGCUAGGUGUUGGAUCCUUUCCGGGAUUCAGUGCCGCAGCUAACGCAUUAAGCACUCCGCCUGGGGAGUACGACCGCAAGGUUGAAACUCAAAGGAAUUGACGGGGG